This 465-nucleotide ribosomal RNA is filed under the name Vreelandella stevensii. RNAcentral describes it as "partial 16S ribosomal RNA". It matches the Rfam family "Bacterial small subunit ribosomal RNA", at positions 338 to 795 of the family's 1533-position model. Lineage: Bacteria; Pseudomonadati; Pseudomonadota; Gammaproteobacteria; Oceanospirillales; Halomonadaceae. The record is from RNAcentral.
CCUACGGGGGGCUGCAGUGGGGAAUAUUGGACAAUGGGGGGAACCCUGAUCCAGCCAUGCCGCGUGUGUGAAGAAGGCCCUCGGGUUGUAAAGCACUUUCAGUGAGGAAGAACGCCUGGUGGUUAAUACCCAUCAGGAAAGACAUCACUCACAGCAGAAGCACCGGCUAACUCCGUGCCAGCAGCCGCGGUAAUACGGAGGGUGCGAGCGUUAAUCGGAAUUACUGGGCGUAAAGCGCGCGUAGGUGGCUUGAUAAGCCGGUUGUGAAAGCCCCGGGCUCAACCUGGGAACGGCAUCCGGAACUGUCAAGCUAGAGUGCAGGAGAGGAAGGUGGAAUUCCCGGUGUAGCGGUGAAAUGCGUAGAGAUCGGGAGGAAUACCAGUGGCGAAGGCGGCCUUCUGGACUGACACUGACACUGAGGUGCGAAAGCGUGGGUAGCAAACAGGAUUAGAUACCCUAGUAGUC